AGAGUUUGAUCAUGGCUCAGAUUGAACGCUGGCGGCAUGCCUUACACAUGCAAGUCGAACGGUAACAGGUCUUCGGAUGCUGACGAGUGGCGGACGGGUGAGUAACACGUGGGAAUCUGCCUUUUGGUUCGGGAUAACCGCGGGAAACUGCGGCUAAUACCGAAUGCCCUCGAGAGAGGAAAGAUUUAUCGCCAGAAGAGGAGCCCGCGUCCGAUUAGGUAGUUGGUGGGGUAAAGGCCUACCAAGCCGACGAUCGGUAGCUGGUCUGAGAGGAUGAUCAGCCACACUGGGACUGAGAUACGGCCCAGACUCCUACGGGAGGCAGCAGUGGGGAAUAUUGGACAAUGGGGGCAACCCUGAUCCAGCAAUGCCGCGUGAGUGAUGAAGGCCUUAGGGUUGUAAAGCUCUUUUGCCAGGGAAGAUGAUGACUGUACCUGGAGAAUAAGCCCCGGCUAACUUCGUG
This 463-nucleotide ribosomal RNA is filed under the name uncultured bacterium. RNAcentral's name for it is "bacterial SSU rRNA". It matches the Rfam family "Bacterial small subunit ribosomal RNA", at positions 8 to 507 of the family's 1533-position model. The record is from RNAcentral.